GAUUAAAAACCAAUAACUGUAACAUAUGAGCAAUUUGCUGGUCAUCUUUGAGAUUCUUACUGAAGACAUUCCAAUGUUGCAGGCACUAAAGCAGUUACCUCGGGAAAAGGUUGAGUUAGCUACAAAGUUUGGAGUAGCUGGAAUUUCUCCCACAGAAGUUAUAGUGAAAGGUUCGCCUGAAUAUGCCCGUUCUUGCUGUGAGGAUAGUUUGAAGCGUCUUGGUGUGGAUUAUAUUGAUCUCUACUACAUACAUCGAAUUGAUACGACUGUGCCUAUUGAAGAGACAGUGAGUUUUUUUAUAUGCUUUUAUUUGGUCAUAUAUAUUUAUUUUGAUUAAUGGCCAUAACCACAUUUUCUCUUGUAUUUGUUUUUCUUAACACGCUCUCGAAUUUACUUACAUGUUACUUCACGUUGAUAAGACUUUUUUUAUGUUGCAGAUGGGAGAACUUAAAAAGCUUGUCGAAGAAGGAAAAAUAAGAUAUAUUGGGUUAUCUGAAGCUAGCCCAGACACAAUAAGAAGGGCUCAUGCUGUUCAUCCCAUUAGUGCUCUACAAGUAGAAUAUUCCCUCUGGACUCGUGACAUCGAAGAAGAUAUAAUUCCAGUCUGCAGGUUUCCCUUAGUUCUCAAAUGCUUCUAUUAUAGUUUCACUUGUUCAAAAUAUUACAUUUUCAACUAAUACUUUGACAAAUUGCAAUUUAAGUGGGAACUUGAAAGCAUAUGUUUGAAUUUCAAAUUGGCUUUUUUUAGUACAUAAAGUUAGUACAUGAUGUCAUUUUCCUUAUAAGAUUAACAUUGCAAUGUUUAGCUCUAAUUUUCUAGUAUAAUAGUUCACGUUUGUAUACUUUUCUUCUUGAUAUAAACUUUUUUUAUUGGGUUAAACUAUCAUCACACUUAGUGUUUUGAACAUAUUUAUAAAAGAAGUGUUUCCUUUUCUCAAUCAAUGUUAUUCAAUUUCCUAAUUUAGCUUCUUCUAUUAUUGUUCCCCGGUCGAUACUCUGUCCACUAUUAUGCUGCAUGUGUACUUUUUCAUCUUAUUGUUGUCCUUCUUGUGCAGUAGGUAUGUUUUUACGUAGGAUUUAUUUUCGUUUUCAUUUUGGAAUGGAUGAUUAGGGAACUUGGGAUCGGAAUAGUUCCAUAUAGUCCAGUAGGCAGAGGGUUUUUUGCUGGGAAGGCUAUAGUGGAAAAGGUGCCUCAAAAUAGUUCAUUGGUAUGUGUGCAUCUCUUAUCUAUUAAUUUUUAUUGUGUAAUUUCUUCUUUUGAAACCAAGAUGAUUUAGUAGUCUCUUCAAUUCAGUUGUAUUAGCUGAACAUUGCCUAAUUAUCGUGCCUAUAGGAACAUCACCCAAGGUUUAAGGGAGAUAACUUUGAGAAGAACAAGGCCAUUUAUUUUCGUAUUGAAAAGUUAGCUAAGAAGCAUGGAUGCACUCCUGCUCAACUUGCGCUCGCAUGGGUUCUUCAUCAAGGAGAUGACGUUGUACCUAUUCCAGGUAAGUCCGUUCAUAUAAGAAGCUUACUUUAAAUAAGUAGUUUUCACAGGACUUCAGCAGUUUGUUAUAACUGGAAAAUUGUGAUAUUUGUCGAUGUUGUAACUCACGUAGCAAUGGAAGAUGACUGACUCAAAUGUUUAUUGUUAUAUUGAUCUCAUGAAUUGUUUAAGAAUUAGCAGUAAAUCAAUCUUGUAAUAUUUACAGGAACCACAAAAAUAAAAAAUCUUCAUGAAAAUAUUGGUUCCGUGAAAGUGAAGCUUACAAAAGAUGAUUUGAAAGAGAUAUCCGAUGCAGUUCCCAUCGAUGAGGUGGCAGGGACCAAAACUCAUUCGGAGGCCCUUGAAAAGAGCUCUUGGAGAUUUGCAUAUACACCACUGCCAAAAUGAGCACAGCAGAACCGGAAAAUAUUUUUAUCUUAAUGUCUUGAAAGAACGUGUGCUUUUUGGGGAUAGUUCUAGCAAUUUCAUGUACUUCGUAUAACUCUUUCUCGGGUCAAUAAUUUCAGUACUGUGUUUCUUGAGUUUAAAGUCUGUCCUUUAUGCUUAAUGCCUAAAUUUUGUAAGGUAUUCUCUAAGGUUUUGAAGAACAUAGAACACAUAUCCCAGCUACAAUAUCAGUAUUUUAGUUUGUGAUCAUGUUUCCUCCUUUAUCGUUGUGGCGUGAUAUAUUACAAAUUAUGUUUAUUAAUUUUACUUUGGGCCAACUCUUUGGAAGAUGUUAGUAGAUGUAUCAAGGAAUUGAAUUUUUUUUUAACAUGAUAUCAAAUUUGAGAAUUACCAAAUCUCAGAACUCAA
This 2281-nucleotide long non-coding RNA is filed under the name Olea europaea subsp. europaea. The record is from RNAcentral. Lineage: Eukaryota; Viridiplantae; Streptophyta; Magnoliopsida; Lamiales; Oleaceae.